This 1409-nucleotide long non-coding RNA is filed under the name Macaca fascicularis (crab-eating macaque). Its description in RNAcentral is "lncRNA (ENSMFAG00000052014.1)". The record is from RNAcentral. Lineage: Eukaryota; Metazoa; Chordata; Mammalia; Primates; Cercopithecidae.
AGGAAGAAGAAAUUUGGCAAAUUCAGGGAGCCUUAACUUGUGGAGUUCAAAGGUCUUAGAAGCAGUGGGUGCUGUGGAUUGCUUGCUCAAGCUCCAUUCUGCUUUCCUUCUAGUUGGAGACACUGGAAAUCUAAAAUUGACAUAUGCCAGAUUCCUUUGCAGCUAGGAUUCUGAAUGAGAAUUAGGUUCUGAUAAUUGUGUACUCCUAGGCUUUGGAUCUGGAAGGCAGAAGUGAAGUAGAAGCCAUCUUUCUUCCUUUUUUCUUUUUCAGUGAGAUUGUCCUGCAGCAGCAUUGCAGUAUGCCUUCUUCAGCUUCCUGGGUAUUGAGACAUAGUUGCAGAGGCAGAAGCAGGUGUGGUGGCUUCCUGAUUGUGGCCUGUUGAUCUCUGGAUCACAGCUAUGGGAGAGAGUCUUGAAGCCAUAGCUUCAAUAGAAGCCUCAGAGUAAACAGCUCACCCACUGGGACAAUCUGUUGUUCUGGGAGUCAUUGCUGUAAGGGUCAUCCACAACUUGUCUUUCAGCCCUUCCAAAGACUUUGUAAGCACCCAAUUCCCUGUAUUAAAUAUCUUUCUGCUUAGUAUACCUGAAAUAAUUUUGCUUCCUGUACUGUACUCUGAUAGAAACAAGCAGUGUUUAAUUUUUUUUCGGCCUUUACAAAUGAAAUGCUUGUUGAAAUUCACCUUCCCUUCCCCACACACAAUCACCAGUGCCACUCACAUCUUCCCUGUGAUCCCCAUGUCCUGUUCUUUCAAUUCGCUUACUCUUUCUUGCCAGUGGUCCCCAUAUUGCCAGGUAUCAGCAGUCAGGAAGGGACCUAGAUUUGAGAGUGGCCAGCUGGAGAGAAGAUGCUAGGUUGCCCCACACUUGAUUGCCUCUAGGUUCGGAUACAGAUGCAACUAUCUUGGAACUAUGCUAAAUUCUCCCUCCCCAUAACAUCUGUUAUCACAAGAAUCCUAACAUGUAGAGCUUUUAUCCCUAUUCAAGACGGGGCACCCAAAGCUCAGAGACUUUAAAUACCUUGUCCAAUGUCACAUGGUGCUUAAGUGGCAGAUCCAAGUUUGGACACCAGUGUUAUCUGAUUAUUGAGUGAGCUUUUGAAAAUGCACAAAUGGGCUGGGCACAGUGGCUCAUGCCUGUAAUCCUAGCACUUUGGGAGGUUGAGGUGGGUGGAUCACCUGAGGUCAGGAGUUUGAGACCAGCCUGACUAGCAUGGUGAAAUCCUAUCUCUACUAAAAAUACAAAUAUUAGCUAGGAAUCGUGGCAUGUGGCUGUAGUCCCAGAUACUCGGGAGGCUGAGACAGGAGAAUUGCUUGAACCUGGGAGGCAGAGGUUGCAGUGAGCCGAGAUUGCACCAUUGCACUCCAGCCUGGGCGACAGAGUGAGAUUCUGUCUCAAAAAAAAAAAAAAAA